This 530-nucleotide ribosomal RNA is filed under the name uncultured Glomeromycotina. Its description in RNAcentral is "SSU rRNA". It matches the Rfam family "Eukaryotic small subunit ribosomal RNA", at positions 548 to 1081 of the family's 1831-position model. Lineage: Eukaryota; Fungi; Glomeromycota. The record is from RNAcentral.
UUGGAGGGCAAGUCUGGUGCCAGCAGCCGCGGUAAUUCCAGCUCCAAUAGCGUAUAUUAAAGUUGUUGCAGUUAAAAAGCUCGUAGUUGAAUUUCGGGGUCAAUAAGUUGGUCGUGCCAAUGGUAUGCACUGGCUUUAUUGAUUCCUACCUCUUGACGAACUGUGAUGCCAUUAAUUUGGUGUCGCAAGGAAUCAGGACUGUUACCUUGAAAAAAUUAGAGUGUUUAAAGCAGGCUUACGCUUGAAUACAUUAGCAUGGAAUAAUGAAAUAGGACGUUCGAUCCUAUUUUGUUGGUUUCUAGGAUUGACGUAAUGAUUAAUAGGGAUAGUUGGGGCAUUAGUAUUCAAUUGUCAGAGGUGAAAUUCUUGGAUUUAUUGAAGACUAACUACUGCGAAAGCAUUUGCCAAGGAUGUUUUCAUUAAUCAAGAACGAAAGUUAGGGGAUCGAAGACGAUCAGAUACCGUCGUAGUCUUAACCAUAAACUAUGCCGACUAGGGAUCGGAUGAUGUUAAUUUUUAAUGACUCAUUC